Molecule: unclassified non-coding RNA, 1210 nt
Filed under: Hevea brasiliensis (rubber tree)
Lineage: Eukaryota; Viridiplantae; Streptophyta; Magnoliopsida; Malpighiales; Euphorbiaceae
Source: RNAcentral
GACGUCAUUUGGUAAGUUGGAAAGAUGUCUCCAUCUUCCAGAUCGAAGAGCAAGUCCAAGGACAAGGCAUCUGCAAGGGCUUCCAAGGAACAGCAGAAGGCAUCUACCAAGCCUUCUGGAUCUACCAAUACAGCGAGUGCUAAUCCAGCAAGUGCGUACAAUCCAAUCUCUGGGACAUUUCAUAACUUAGAGAUACCAUCAGCUGCCUCUUCCCACCCUUUCCAUGAUAUUGGCCGUUUCAAAAAUAUAGAUGACACAGAUGAGCAUUCCAGUAGCCCCCGUGGAACCGUAUCUGAAUGUGAUUCGGUUUCAAACAAUGGGAGUUGCUCUGGUGAGUCUGAAGAUCCAAAAGAGAAGACAGCCAAUUCUGCCCGGCAAGAAACUGUACCUGGUUUAGACAAUGACAGGAGAGAGAAGAUUCGACUGAAGAAUGAGAAGAAGCACCAGCGACAAAGGGAGAGGCGGGCACAAGAGUUGCAUGAGCGUUGCAGUGGGUAUCUGAUGUCAAGAAAACUGGAAGACCUUUCACAGCAGCUUGUGGCAAUGGGUUUUUCUCGUGAGCGGGCAACCUUGGCCCUUGUGUUGAAUGAGGGCAAGGUAGAAGAAUCAGUAAACUGGCUUUUUGAGGCAAGUGAAGAUGAAGCUCAUAGCAAGGACAUUAAACUAGGAAGCGGUUGUAACUUGAAAAUUGAUAUUCGGGAGGAGCUUGCUCAGAUCUCAGCAAUGGAGGUGAGGUACAAAUUCUCAAAGCAGGAGGUUGAAAGAGCAGUUGUUGCUUGUGAAGGUGAUCUUGAGAAGGCAGAAGAGAUCUUACAAACACAAAAGCAGGAAUCACCUGCUACUACACUAACUCCAGAAGAGACUACUGAUGCCAAUCAUCUAAAGAGAACACAAGAAAAGCCCAUGCUGUCAGCUUCGGUUGCAAUACAAAAGAGAAGAAAUGAGCGAGAUUUUAACCAUGCCAAAACUGCAAUAGAAGUGCCAAUGUAUUCAGAUCCUGGGAGCAGAAACAUGCAGUCUGUGAACCAACCCAAGUCACUUGCUGAGAAGAGGUGGUCCACAUCAGGAUCAAGUCCAUCAUCGUCAUUAGCUAGGGCAUCAGCUAUGCAAGUGACACUUCCAUCAUCAAAAUUGGAGGUCAGGCUUGGUGUUUCUGGAAAUGAAGGGAAAAAUCAUCAGCAAACACUGAGGGAACCAGUAGUUAUGAUGC